UUGGAAUUCCUGGGCGCCACGGACAGGGAGCUGGGCGACCAUGGAAGUCGAAAAGGGAGCUGCACGGCUGGAAAAACAGGGGCGCUAGGGGGAUCUCGCGCAGCGUCCAUUGCCGAGGGUGGAGCUCGCGCCCAUGGGAUGGAAGAUGGUAGGGAGGGCGCUGGAGAACAGGGAAGGGCGCCAUGGCUGUUGGGGGCGCCUGCUCCAUGGAAGUGGAGGUCGGCCAUGGCUGCUGGCGGCCGAGCGAGCAGAGCGAGAGGAAAAAAAAGAGCAGCGGCGUCCAUGCUUGCUGCCGUGAAGCAGGGAGGAAGAAGACCUGCUCACCGGCCUAGGGGAGAAGGGCAUCGCCGAGCAGGACCAGGGGGACGACGACCGGAUGUGGGGAAGAGGGACCUUGCUGCUGCGCCAUGGAGCAAGGAGGAGAGAGUUGUGCGUGUGGGAGAGGAGGAAGAAGAGAGUGGCGGCUGGAAAAAGUGGAGGGGUGGGAAUGCAAAAUGA
This 498-nucleotide unclassified non-coding RNA is filed under the name Zea mays. RNAcentral's name for it is "misc RNA Zm00001eb412680". Lineage: Eukaryota; Viridiplantae; Streptophyta; Magnoliopsida; Poales; Poaceae. The record is from RNAcentral.